Molecule: long non-coding RNA, 781 nt
Organism: Gossypium raimondii (Peruvian cotton)
Lineage: Eukaryota; Viridiplantae; Streptophyta; Magnoliopsida; Malvales; Malvaceae
Exons: 2
Source: RefSeq, a predicted model, not a curated record
UUUCAAUCUUCUUCUUUCUUCUCCUCUUUCUCUCUUCCCCUCUAACUAUUGUUGCCAUUGUGUCCAAUCUUCACUGUCAUCACCUUUCCUUUAACUCCUCACUCUUCCAAUUUCACCACCUCUCCGUUCCCUCUCACUCCUCACCAUUGCAAAAAGAGGAAUCACUAUCGUAACCCAAUUUAGGGUUUUAGUUUUCUUUUAAAUUAAUAAAAAACCAGAAAAAUCAAACGUUGCUUUGUUUGGUUUAGCUUUGCUUGCUUUCGGUAUAUUUGAUACCCUUCUUUGCUUUUCAAUUCAUUUACCCAUUUAUUGCUUCACCUUCUCUAAUUUUCUCAGGAACCAAACAGGGGAAAUUUGGGUUUUUGUUCUGAAAAUUAAAUGACUUUCAAUGAUGACGAGGGAGGAGAAGUUGGGAAUUUUACAUACCUUUCUAGUGUUAUUGGUUGCUGUUAUUCUCAAACAAGUUGGCACUUUUUUAAUGGAUAAGGAUGAAAGAUAGUUGCACGUGCAAAAAGCUUGUUCCGAUGGCAAUUGAUAAGGCAAGGGAAGUGAAAGGGUUUCCCUGUAGGUGGAAGAUGAUAAUUUCGAAACUCAAGCGAAUCCCUUUAUGUCUAUUGGACUUGCCGACCCAUCCUUGCUUUUCGAAAAAUGCUCUUUGUAAGGAACAGUUACAGGCUAUUUCGAAAACAAAGUUUUUGCAUUUUUGGAAGUUAUGCAUACUUUUAAUUUUAAAUUUUUAUAAUUUUCAAAAAUAGAUUAUGAUUUUUUUUAGUUUUUUUAA